RNAcentral lists this ribosomal RNA (470 nucleotides) under uncultured bacterium. RNAcentral's name for it is "bacterial SSU rRNA". It matches the Rfam family "Bacterial small subunit ribosomal RNA", at positions 917 to 1382 of the family's 1533-position model. The record is from RNAcentral.
GGGCCCGCACAAGCGGUGGAGCAUGUGGUUCAAUUCGAUGCAGAGCGAAGAACCUUACCUGGGCUUGACAUGCUGGAAGUAGAACCCCGAAAGGGGAACGACCUGUUAAGUCAGGAGCCAGCACAGGUGGUGCAUGGCUGUCGUCAGCUCGUGCCGUGAGGUGUUGGGUUAAGUCCCGCAACGAGCGCAACCCUCACCCGAUGUUGCCAACGGUUCGGCCGGGCACUCUUCGGGAACUGCCGGCGAAGAGCUGGAGGAAGGGGGGGAUGACGUCAAGUCCGUAUGCCCCUUAUGUCCAGGGCUACACACAUGCUACAAUGGUCGGUACAGAGGGUUGCCAACCCGCGAGGGGGAGCCAAUCCCAGAAAGCCGAUCUCAGUUCGGAUUGCAGGCUGCAACUCGCCUGCAUGAAGUAGGAAUCGCUAGUAAGCGCAGAUCAGCAGGCUGCGCUGAAUACGUUCCCGGGCCUU